CCCCUCUCAGGUUGACAUCUGGAGAGUUUCCAGUAUUCUACCAGUCUCAGUUACAAGAGGGAGAAUCAAGCAGAGGCAUACCCAUUCUAUUCCUAGCUUGGAUAGUGGCUAGUGAGUGGAAGGCAAUCUGCUACAUGU
Molecule: small nucleolar RNA, 138 nt
Organism: Ornithorhynchus anatinus (platypus)
Lineage: Eukaryota; Metazoa; Chordata; Mammalia; Monotremata; Ornithorhynchidae
Source: RefSeq, a predicted model, not a curated record